GAUGAACGCUGGCGGCGUGCCUAAUACAUGCAAGUCGAGCGAACAGACGAGGAGCUUGCUCCUCUGACGUUAGCGGCGGACGGGUGAGUCACACGUGGAUAACCUAACUAUAAGACUGGGAUAACUACGGGAAACCGGAGCUCAUACCGGAUAAUAUAUUACACAGCAUGGUUCACUAGUGCAAGACGGUUCUGCUGUCACUUAUAGCUGGAUCCGCGCCGCAUUAGCUAGUUGGUAAGGUGACGGCUUACCAAGGCAACGAUGCGUAGACGACCUGAGCGGGUGAUUGGCCACAUGGUAACUGAGACACAGUCCAGACGCCGACGGUAGGAAGCAGUAGAGAAUCUUCCGCAAUGGGGGAAAGCGUGAUAUAGCAACGCCGCGGAAGGGAUGAAGGUCCUCGGAUGGGAAAACGCUGAAGGUAGGGAAGAAGAAAAGUUUAUGUACCUGGGCACGUCAUGACGGUACCGAAACAGAAAGCCACGGCUAACUACGUG
Molecule: ribosomal RNA, 497 nt
Filed under: uncultured bacterium
Lineage: Bacteria
Description: partial 16S ribosomal RNA
Rfam family: Bacterial small subunit ribosomal RNA
Source: RNAcentral